CACGCCCUAAACGAUGUCAACUGGUUGUUGGGUCUUCACUGACUCAGUAACGAAGCUAACGCGUGAAGUUGACCGCCUGGGGAGUACGGCCGCAAGGUUGAAACUCAAAGGAAUUGACGGGGGCCCGCACAAGCGGUGGAGUAUGUGGUUUAAUUCGAUGCAACGCGAAGAACCUUACCUGGCCUUGACAUGUCCGGAAUCCUGCAGAGAUGCGGGAGUGCCUUCGGGAAUCGGAACACAGGUGC
RNAcentral lists this ribosomal RNA (245 nucleotides) under uncultured bacterium. RNAcentral describes it as "partial 16S ribosomal RNA". It matches the Rfam family "Bacterial small subunit ribosomal RNA", at positions 796 to 1041 of the family's 1533-position model. The record is from RNAcentral.